This 72-nucleotide transfer RNA is filed under the name Loxodonta africana (African savanna elephant). It matches the Rfam family "tRNA". Rfam says of the family: Transfer RNA (tRNA) molecules are approximately 80 nucleotides in length. Their secondary structure includes four short double-helical elements and three loops (D, anti-codon, and T loops). Lineage: Eukaryota; Metazoa; Chordata; Mammalia; Proboscidea; Elephantidae. The record is from Rfam by way of RNAcentral.
GGGGGUAUAGCCCAGCGGCAGAGCGCGCGCUUAGCAUGCGCGAGGUCCUGGGUUUGACGCCCAGUACUUCCG